RNAcentral lists this transfer RNA (84 nucleotides) under Anaerolineae bacterium. Its description in RNAcentral is "tRNA-Leu". It matches the Rfam family "tRNA". From Rfam's summary of the family: Transfer RNA (tRNA) molecules are approximately 80 nucleotides in length. Lineage: Bacteria; Bacillati; Chloroflexota; Anaerolineae. The record is from RNAcentral.
GGGGCGGUGGCGGAAAUGGCAGACGCAGAGGACUUAAAAUCCUCCGGUAGUAAUACCUUGUGGGUUCAAUUCCCACCCGCCCUA